GAUGAACGCUGGCGGCGUGCUUAACACAUGCAAGUCGAACGGAAAGGCCAGUGCUUGCACUGGUACUCGAGUGGCGAACGGGUGAGUAACACGUGGGUGAUCUGCCCUGCACUUCGGGAUAAGCCUGGGAAACUGGGUCUAAUACCGGAUAGGACAAUGGUUUGGAUGCCGUUGUGGAAAGUUUUUUCGGUGUGGGAUGAGCUCGCGGCCUAUCAGCUUGUUGGUGGGGUAAUGGCCUACCAAGGCGUCGACGGGUAGCCGGCCUGAGAGGGUGUACGGCCACAUUGGGACUGAGAUACGGCCCAGAGUCCUACGGGAGGCAGCAGUGGGGAAUAUUGCACAAUGGGCGCAAGCCUGAUGCAGCGACGCCGCGUGGGGGAUGACGGCCUUCGGGUUGUAAACUCCUUUCGCUAGGGACGAAGCGUAUUUGUGACGGUACCUGGAGAAGAAGCACCGGCUAACUACGUG
This 468-nucleotide ribosomal RNA is filed under the name uncultured bacterium. RNAcentral describes it as "partial 16S ribosomal RNA". It matches the Rfam family "Bacterial small subunit ribosomal RNA", at positions 28 to 507 of the family's 1533-position model. The record is from RNAcentral.